AGGUACGUUCAUACUUCGCUGAAAACACCAUAUCCCGUCCGAUUUGUGAAGUUAAGCAGCCAUAGGCCACGUUAGUACUGAGGUUAGUGAUAACUCGGGAACCCGCGGUGACGUACUUCAACCUCCUUUUUUCCAAUAGCCCGCCGCCCACCCCGGCCCACCCCGGCACCCAAAAACCCCGCCAACACAGGCCACUCCCGCCCCCUUUUCGGCCUUCCGCGGCAUCAGGGCACCCAAGGGGGCCCAGCAGCGCGCGCCGUUGCGGCUGGGGGGCGGGGGGUGCGCUCGGGGGUCGCGGCGGGUGGGGUGCGUUUUCCGCCUCGGCUUCCUCCAUCUUCACGCGAGCGGCCCCGCCACAACGUCCCCUCCGCAAAUAGCGCGGCGACCCAUAUCACACACGCGGUGGUUGCCAGUUAUUUUCAACUAACGCUAUUAUUGUUACAGUUUCUGUACUUUAUUGGUAUGAGAAGCUUCCAGUCUAUCUGGUAAAUUUUGGAAAAAGCCUUCGGGCUUCUUUUUUUUAUUUUUUUUUCCCACACAAAACCCCCGGUCCCGCCCCCAGGGUGGGGGUGGGUACCCCCCUGGGCCUCCCCGCCACCAUACCCCCAUACAAAACCACAUGGCACACAACC
Molecule: unclassified non-coding RNA, 632 nt
Filed under: Trypanosomatidae sp. Alexandria_1983
Lineage: Eukaryota; Euglenozoa; Kinetoplastea; Trypanosomatida; Trypanosomatidae
Source: RNAcentral